Non-coding RNA from Sapajus apella (tufted capuchin), 677 nucleotides. The record is from the annotation of a RefSeq genome assembly. NCBI's taxonomy places the organism in Eukaryota, Metazoa, Chordata, Mammalia, Primates, Cebidae.
GGCUCUUGUGUCCAGGUUCCACUGGGCAGCCUCACACAGAGCUGUUGGAAGUCUCUCCAACCAUGGCCUGGGUCUCUUUCUGCCUCCUGCCUUUCAUUUUCUCCACAGGUCUCUGUGCUCUGCCUGUGCUGACUCAGCCCCCGUCUGCAUCUGCCUCACUGGGAGCCUCGGUCAAGCUCACCUGCACCCUGAGCAGUGAGCACAGCAACUACUUUAUUCACUGGUAUCAACAGAGACCAGGGAGGUCCCCCCAGUAUAUAAUGAAGGUUAACAGUGAUGGCAGCCACAGCAAGGGGGACGGGAUCCCCGAUCGCUUCUCAGGUUCCAGCUCUGGAGCUGACCGCUUCCUCACCAUCUCCAACCUCCGGUCUGAGGACGAGGCUGACUAUCACUGUGGAGAGAGCCACACCAUUGAUGGCCAGUACGGGCUGUGGGGAGAGGCCAGAACAGCCCAGGCAGGAAAAGGACCCUGAGAGAGGGGCCAGGCUGGGAUGACCGCGUUCACUGAGUGCCACUGCACCCUGUGUCCCGUCCUGGGACUCUGACUGAGGAGGAAUGUGAAUCUUGGCAUGUCUCCAUAAUGUAUGAGAACUGUAGUUGUGCGAAUCCUCAUUAGCACUUGAUAUCAUUGUCAGUUUCUAUUUAAAGUCAUUCUAAUAGAUCUGUAGUGAUUCUCA